Quercus lobata is the source of this 872-nucleotide long non-coding RNA. RefSeq lists it as uncharacterized. NCBI's taxonomy places the organism in Eukaryota, Viridiplantae, Streptophyta, Magnoliopsida, Fagales, Fagaceae. The transcript has 4 exons. The record is from RefSeq and is a predicted model, not a curated record.
UUUUUUCCCUGUUUCAGACUGAAGACUUCCAACGAGAAAACUGAAAACCCCAAAACCCCAAGCUCCUACCGUUCUCUCUCUCCCUCCCUGUUCUUCUCUUUCUCUCUUUCUUUCCUUCUCUCUCAGUCAGAUUAGAUGAAAUAGACGAAUCCAGCUCUGAAUUCUCUAUCUCGCUCUGUUUUCGCAGAUUGGUUGGCUGGCACUAAGAAAAUUCGUUGCUAGCUUGUGAUUCGUGAAGCACUGGCUCAGGCAGUUCUGGACCAACGAUUAGAAGAUAAUGUAAGCAUUGUCAUUGCUGAUUUAGGGCAGACGGAUUGGCAAAGUUUGCCACUUCAGGAUUUAUGAGGGAUGCAUCUCAAGGAUUGACCAUUCAUUCCUGGUCUAUUAAAGUCUGCCCAGAAAAUCUAUUCUCAUUCACCAAAAUGAGUUGAUCGAGUUCAUUAAUCGGACUGAUCUUGUUAUAUCUCCUCACUGAUUGGAAAGAAUAUCUUAGUAUCAAGAUGCAUCAGUGUUAAGCCCAGUAGGAGAACUGAAAGAAACAAUUAUAAUAUCCAAAAAUAUAUGCAUUGUUUGGAUGAAAGAUUUAUACAACAUGGAGACAUAAAGUGAUUGGCAGCUCAACCAUUUCAAGCGUCUUGAGACAUAAAGUGAUUUGCAGCUCAAUCAUUUCAAACAGCAAAAAGAAAUGUUAGAUUGAAUAGGCAGUAGGACUUAAGAUGUUGAAUACAUUCAAAUUAUUUUGUACAAUUGCAAGUUAUUUAAAAAUUGCACAAUAAGCAUUGUAUUUAAUUAGUGAAUUCUGAUUUUACUUUAGUGUACUCUCUUUUGCAAUAUGCCAUGUGAUAUUUGUAAUGUGAGUUCACAAUAAUAAA